Long non-coding RNA from Cebus imitator (Panamanian white-faced capuchin), 1081 nucleotides. RefSeq lists it as uncharacterized. Lineage: Eukaryota; Metazoa; Chordata; Mammalia; Primates; Cebidae. The record is from RefSeq and is a predicted model, not a curated record. The transcript is spliced from 4 exons.
AAGGAGACCCGCAGCUAAUGGCUCGGCAGUGAUGCGCCAGGUGUGGGCCUCGCUCGAAUGGGGAGGAGAGUGUGAAAACAGAUAGAGAGACACACACACUGAGAGGGAGACACCCUGGCAGAGGAGAUGCAAAUGGAAUUCCGCAGAAAGAAAAGAGAGCUUAACGCGCGCGGCGAGUUCCGCAGGGGCAGCGGGACUUGAUGACCUUACGUUUUCCACAGCCUAGCUUCAGCUGGAGAUGGCUGUUCAUGGAAGAAGUCGCUUUCCCGUUUGUCUGGGCCUCGCCUGCACUCCAGGAAGAAACUGGAAUAGAACUCCUUCAAACUGACCCCUUUUGAGCUCCAAGCAAGUGUGCUGCGGCCAGGUUAUUCGCGUCACGGCUCGAGAAGGAAGGUAAAUCCGGAGAGCAAAUGAAGCCCUGUACAACCCCAUUAAGCCUGGGCAAUCCCAAAACAGCGGAGAGGGGGUGACAGCAGCUGAGGUGGAGCCCACUCCAGGCCCGGCGACUUCACAAUUCCGUCGGCGGGAGACACCCAUCCCCCACCUACCACCCGGCAGAUCCCCGGUCCCUUCCCCCGCUGGGGCGACGGGCUCCUGUCCAGCCUGCUCCUCUCGGAUUGAAAUUCUCAGGACUUCAAAAGCUCCCAGCGUGGCUUCCGCCGGGGCUGGGCUGGCCUGGGGCGGGCCGGGGGUGGGUGGGUGGGAACCCGACGGAGAUAAGAUGCACCGGUCGUUUUAAAAGGAAUCGGAAGCCCGGCCAGGGCCCCCAGACACGCUGGUCAGCUGGAAAAGCUUCUCUUCCCAAGAAAACCCGGCUCGGGAAAGCGGCGCGUGUGGGGGCUGCCUCCGCUGUCUGCCCGCCCCGCUCGGGGGAGGUGGCCAGGGUCCCCAAUCACCCUCCCCAGCCUGCAGCAGGCCUCCCAGCGGCGACAGGGCCCCCGAGAAGGGAGAGGGCGAGGAGUCCGGCAAUGGAGGCCUGGAGCUGGCUUGUCGGCUCAGAUGUCGGUGAAAAUAGGGGCAGAAAAAAAAAUGUUCUCCCUUCUCCGGUUAAAAAGUAAGAACAAAGGAAGCCUCCUUCUAA